Molecule: ribosomal RNA, 494 nt
Filed under: uncultured bacterium
Lineage: Bacteria
Description: partial 16S ribosomal RNA
Rfam family: Bacterial small subunit ribosomal RNA
Source: RNAcentral
GACGAACGCUGGCGGCGCGCUUAACACAUGCAAGUCGAACGGAAAGGCCUGCUUUCCCUUGUGGAUUGCGGGUACUCGAGUGGCGAACGGGUGAGUAACACGUGAGUGAUCUUCCCCCAACUUGGGUAUAAGCCUGGGAAACUGGGUCUAAUUCCCGAUAGGACUGCAGGGUGGUGCCUGUGGUGGAAAACGAUUUUCUAGUGGUUGGGGAUGAGCUCGCGGCCUAUCAGCUUGUUGGUGGGGUAAUGGCCUACCAAGGCGGCGACGGGUAGCCGGCCUGAGAGGGUGGACGGCCACAUUGGGACUGGGAUAAGGCCCAGACGCCUACGGGAGGCAGCAGUGGGGAAUAUUGCACAAUGGGCGGAAGCCUGAUGCAGCGACGCCGCGUGGGGGAUGACGGCCUUCGGGUUGUAAACUCCUUUCGACCGCGAGGAAGCCACCUGGUUGGAAGGGUGGUGACGGUAGUGGUAGAAGAAGCACCGGCUAACUACGUG